CGGCAUGCUUAACACAUGCAAGUCGUACGGGAAUUUUUAAUUCAAGUGGCGGACGGGUGAGUAACACGUAAGAAUUUGCCUUUAGGAGGGGGACAACAACUGGAAACGGUUGCUAAUACCCCAUAUGCUUUCGAGUGAAAUUGAUUUUUCCGCCUAAAGAGAAGCGUGCGGCUGAUUAGCUUGUUGGUGAGAUAAUGGCUCACCAAGGCGACGAUCAGUAUCUGGUUUGAGAGGAUGAUCAGACACACUGGAACUGAGACACGGUCCAGACUCCUACGGGAGGCAGCAGUGGGGAAUUUUCCGCAAUGGGCGAAAGCCUGACGGAGCAAUCUCGCGUGAGGGAUGACGGCCUAUGGGUUGUAAACCUCUUUUUUCAGGGAGGAACAAAAUGACGUGUACCUGAAGAAUAAGCAUCGGCUAACUCCGUGCCAGCAGCCGCGGUAAGACGG
RNAcentral lists this ribosomal RNA (449 nucleotides) under Nitzschia frustulum. RNAcentral's name for it is "bacterial SSU rRNA". It matches the Rfam family "Bacterial small subunit ribosomal RNA", at positions 40 to 528 of the family's 1533-position model. The record is from RNAcentral. Lineage: Eukaryota; Bacillariophyta; Bacillariophyceae; Bacillariales; Bacillariaceae.